GGCGACGUCGCCGCGGCCCCUUGCGGGCUGGCGCGGCGUAGACUGGAGCUCCGGGCACUUCUUUAAAAGGGGGAACGGCGCUGUGUUAGGCGGAGUGCGGAGCUAGAAGGGGGCGGUCGGAGCGCGAGCUGUCAACUCUGGCGCCUCCCGGCUCCGCCCCGAGGCUCCGAAGUGACAGGUGGAAUAGCAGCCCGGGCUUCGGACCUCAGGCCUCAGUUUAUUCUGUGGGAGGGGACGGGCUUUCCUGGCAGGACAUAUCAUACAACUAUUCCAUGGUGAAUUAUUCUUAACGAUUCCAGCUCUCUCUCUGCGUCCUUGUGAAAAUGAUCUUGUCUUUAAACCCUGCGUGGCAAUCCUUGAUGCACCGCCGUGAUGCCCAGGGAAGACAGGGCAACCUGGAAGUCCAACUACUUCUU
Molecule: long non-coding RNA, 416 nt
Filed under: Macaca fascicularis (crab-eating macaque)
Lineage: Eukaryota; Metazoa; Chordata; Mammalia; Primates; Cercopithecidae
Description: lncRNA (ENSMFAG00000057572.1)
Source: RNAcentral